RNAcentral lists this ribosomal RNA (253 nucleotides) under uncultured bacterium. RNAcentral describes it as "partial 16S ribosomal RNA". It matches the Rfam family "Bacterial small subunit ribosomal RNA", at positions 524 to 776 of the family's 1533-position model. The record is from RNAcentral.
UACGUAGGGUGCGAGCGUUGUCCGGAAUUAUUGGGCGUAAAGGGCACGUAGGUGGUCUCGUUUGUCUGGGGUGAAAGCCUUGGGCUUAACUCAAGAAGUGCCCCAGAAACGGCGAGACUAGAGUACUGGAGAGGGUCGUGGAAUUCCCGGUGUAGCGGUGAAAUGCGUAGAGAUCGGGAGGAACACCAGCGGCGAAGGCGGCGACCUGGACAGUUACUGACACUCAACUGCGAAAGCGUGGGGAGCAAACAGG